Molecule: ribosomal RNA, 458 nt
Filed under: uncultured bacterium
Lineage: Bacteria
Description: partial 16S ribosomal RNA
Rfam family: Bacterial small subunit ribosomal RNA
Source: RNAcentral
CCUACGGGUGGCAGCAGUGAGGAAUAUUGGUCAAUGGGCGAGAGCCUAAACCAGUCAAGUCGCGUGAGGGAGUACUGCCCUAUGGGUUGUAAACCUCUUUUGUCGGGGAGCAAAAGCCGGACGUGUCCGGCUGUGAGAGUACCCGAAGAAAAAGCAUCGGCUAACUCCGUGCCAGCAGCCGCGGUAAUACGGAGGAUGCGAGCGUUAUUCGGAGUUAUUGGGUUUAAAGGGUGCGCAGGCGGAUUUUUAAGUCGGUGGUCAAAUCGUGGGGCUCAACCCCAUCCAGCCGUUGAAACUGGGGAUCUAGAGUGUGCGAGAGGUAUGCGGAAUGCGUGGUGUAGCGGUGAAAUGCAUAGAUAUCACGCAGAACCCCGAUUGCGAAGGCAGCAUACCGGCGCCCUACUGACGCUGAGGCACGAAAGUGCGGGUAUCGAACAGGAUUAGAUACCCCGGUAGUC